UCUAGGUCAUUGAGAAUGCUCUUUAAAGAGU
Molecule: non-coding RNA, 31 nt
Filed under: Mus musculus (house mouse)
Lineage: Eukaryota; Metazoa; Chordata; Mammalia; Rodentia; Muridae
Source: RNAcentral